RNAcentral lists this unclassified non-coding RNA (754 nucleotides) under Hevea brasiliensis (rubber tree). Lineage: Eukaryota; Viridiplantae; Streptophyta; Magnoliopsida; Malpighiales; Euphorbiaceae. The record is from RNAcentral.
GAGAGGAAAACACGAGUAUGCAUUAUAUUACGAAACAGGGGGGGACACGCAAUGUAGCAAACCCCUCUGCUACUAUUUAUUCAUUAAAGCCUUAAUGGCAAAACUAAUGGCACAGUUGCACACUCCAUUGUCGGAUUAACAACAGCAUGAACUGAAGUCAUCAAACAUCAAAAAUAACAUAUGCUGCCCUACAUAACACCAGAAGAGACAACCUUUGAUGGUUGGACGGAUCAGCAAGCAGCGCAGCGGAGGUAGUAAACAGGUGGACGGAUCAGCAAACGGCGGCGUGGAGGUGGCAUGCAGGCGGCCAUGAUAGCGAGAAUAAUGAUGAGUACCAUGACAAUCCCCUUCAAAUCCAAACCAUUACUGCCGUCACAAAAUUGAGUGCACAUGAUCUUGCCCAUAUUCUAAACCUUGUAAUAAGAGCCUCUUUUUUGGUCCUUCCGUGCUCUCCUCUGAAAUGGAAACGCAACAAUAAAGAGAAAUGAUAGGUGAUUUUUUGUUUGGUUCAAUUCAAGUCAAGUUAGCGUAGGAAAUGUUUAACAUAAGCUUUAUUUCAUUGGUAAAUGGAAGACUUGGGAAAUGUCUAGUCAAGUGUUUUUGGACGACUAUGAGCUUCUCCUGAGUGGAAAUUCUUGCCUUGGCGUAGAGAACGAAUAAGAUGUUAGCUUACAACUAUAUAUUUUUUUAAGAAGGGAAGAAAAAUAAUCUGCACUAAGCAACAUCUAGAAUAAGAAUAAGAUAUGCUUGCUAG